RNAcentral lists this ribosomal RNA (465 nucleotides) under uncultured bacterium. Its description in RNAcentral is "partial 16S ribosomal RNA". It matches the Rfam family "Bacterial small subunit ribosomal RNA", at positions 28 to 507 of the family's 1533-position model. The record is from RNAcentral.
GACGAACGCUGGCGGCGUGCUUAACACAUGCAAGUCGAACGGAAAGGCCCCUUCGGGGGUACUCGAGUGGCGAACGGGUGAGUAACACGUGAGUAACCUGCCCUUGACUUCGGGAUAACUUCGGGAAACUGGGGCUAAUACCGGAUAGGAAUCCUUGCUGCAUGGCGGGGGUUGGAAAGCUUCGGCGGUUUUGGAUGGACUCGCGGCUUAUCAGCUUGUUGGUGGGGUAGUGGCUUACCAAGGCUUUGACGGGUAGCCGGCCUGAGAGGGCGACCGGCCACAUUGGGACUGAGAUACGGCCCAGACUCCUACGGGAGGCAGCAGUGGGGAAUAUUGCACAAUGGGCGGAAGCCUGAUGCAGCAACGCCGCGUGCGGGAUGACGGCCUUCGGGUUGUAAACCGCUUUCAGCAGGGGCGAAGCUUGUGGUGACGGUACCUGCAGAAGAAGCACCGGCUAACUACGUG